GACGAACGCUGGCGGCGCGCCUAACACAUGCAAGUCGAACGAGCGAGAGAGAGCUUGCUUUCUCAAGCGAGUGGCGAACGGGUGAGUAACGCGUGAGGAACCUGCCUCAAAGAGGGGGACAACAGUUGGAAACGACUGCUAAUACCGCAUAAGCCCACGGGUCGGCAUCGACCAGAGGGAAAAGGAGCAAUCCGCUUUGAGAUGGCCUCGCGUCCGAUUAGCUAGUUGGUGAGGUAAUGGCCCACCAAGGCGACGAUCGGUAGCCGGACUGAGAGGUUGAACGGCCACAUUGGGACUGAGACACGGCCCAGACUCCUACGGGAGGCAGCAGUGGGGAAUAUUGCACAAUGGGGGAAACCCUGAUGCAGCGACGCCGCGUGGAGGAAGAAGGUCUUCGGAUUGGUAAAACUCCUGUUGUUGAGGAAGAUAAUGACGGUACUCAACAAGGAAGUGACGGCUAACUACGUG
This 468-nucleotide ribosomal RNA is filed under the name uncultured bacterium. Its description in RNAcentral is "bacterial SSU rRNA". It matches the Rfam family "Bacterial small subunit ribosomal RNA", at positions 28 to 507 of the family's 1533-position model. The record is from RNAcentral.